RNAcentral lists this transfer RNA (83 nucleotides) under Entamoeba terrapinae. RNAcentral describes it as "tRNA-Ser". It matches the Rfam family "tRNA". Rfam says of the family: Transfer RNA (tRNA) molecules are approximately 80 nucleotides in length. Their secondary structure includes four short double-helical elements and three loops (D, anti-codon, and T loops). Lineage: Eukaryota; Evosea; Mastigamoebida; Endamoebidae. The record is from RNAcentral.
GACAACGUGGCCGAUGGUCUAAGGCGUGUGACUCGAAAUCACUUCUCCUAUGGAGGCGUAGGUUCAAAUCCUGCCGUUGUCGU